AUGAACGCUGACAGAAUGCUUAACACAUGCAAGUCGAUGGGGAAGUGGUGCUUGCACCAUGGUAACCAUGGCGGACGGGUGAGUAACGCGUAAGGAACUUACCUGCGGGACCGGGAUAGCAGCAGGAAACUGCUGACAAGACCGGAUAAGGUCAUUAAGCUGCAUAGCUUAGUGAUGAAAGGAGACGCCUGCGGAGAGCCUUGCGUCCUAUUAGCUAGUUGGAGGGGUAACGGCCCACCAAGGCGAAGAUAGGUAGCCGGCCUGAGAGGGUGGACGGCCACAAGGGGACUGAGAUACGGCCCUUACUCCUACGGGAGGCAGCAGUGGGGAAUAUUGGACAAUGGGGGCAACCCUGAUCCAGCAAUUCUGUGUGCACGAAGACGGUUUUCGGAUUGUAAAGUGCUUUCAGCAGGGAAGAAGGAAGUGACGGUACCUGCAGAAGAAGCGACGGCUAAAUACGUG
This 462-nucleotide ribosomal RNA is filed under the name uncultured bacterium. RNAcentral describes it as "partial 16S ribosomal RNA". It matches the Rfam family "Bacterial small subunit ribosomal RNA", at positions 29 to 507 of the family's 1533-position model. The record is from RNAcentral.